RNAcentral lists this ribosomal RNA (253 nucleotides) under uncultured bacterium. RNAcentral describes it as "partial 16S ribosomal RNA". It matches the Rfam family "Bacterial small subunit ribosomal RNA", at positions 524 to 776 of the family's 1533-position model. The record is from RNAcentral.
UACGGAGGGUGCAAGCGUUAUCCGGAUUCACUGGGUUUAAAGGGUGCGUAGGAGGGCAGGUAAGUCAGUGGUGAAAUCCCCGAGCUUAACUUGGGAACUGCCGUUGAUACUAUCUGUCUUGAAUACCGUGGAGGUGAGCGGAAUAUGUCAUGUAGCGGUGAAAUGCUUAGAUAUCUGGAGGAACACCGGUGGCGAAGGCGGCAUCCUGGACCGAUACUGACGCUGAGGAGCGAAAGCCAGGGGAGCAAACGGG